This 161-nucleotide unclassified non-coding RNA is filed under the name uncultured Cercophora. RNAcentral describes it as "sequence contains ITS1". Lineage: Eukaryota; Fungi; Ascomycota; Sordariomycetes; Sordariales; Lasiosphaeriaceae. The record is from RNAcentral.
CAGAGUUGCAAAACUCCCAUAACCCUUUGUUAAUACUACCUGAUCGUUGCUUAGGCAGGCGGCCCCAGGGCGGGGCCUGUAGCCUUCUUUUAGGCGCCUGCCGACGGCAUCAUAAAACUCGUUUUUUUCCAGUUAUCUGAGUAUAAAUACACAAUGAGUCA